AGAUAGAGGACGUUUCAGGAAACAGACAGACUAGAGGUGGAGAUAGAGGACGUUUCAGGAAACAGACAGGCUAGAGGUGGAGGUAGAGGACGCCUCAGGAAACAGACAGGCUGGAGGUGGAGGUAGAGGACGUUUCAGGAAACAGACAGGCUGGAGGUGGAGAUAGAGGACGUUUCAGGAAACAGACAGGCUAGAGGUGGAGAUAGAGGACGUUUCAGGAAACAGACAGGCUAGAGGUGGAGGUGGAGAUAGAGGACGUUUCAGGAAACAGACAGGCUAGAGGUGGAGGUAGAGGACGCCUCAGGAAACAGACAGGCUGGAGGUGGAGGUAGAGGACGUUUCAGGAGUAGUCAUGACAGCUGAGUUGAGACAGUCUAACUCUAGUUACCUUCUGAUGGUUCCACAUCAGUUUAAUCAAUAACUAUCAGUAAUCAAACCAAACAAGCACAAAAACAGAAU
Molecule: long non-coding RNA, 459 nt
Organism: Melanotaenia boesemani (Boeseman's rainbowfish)
Lineage: Eukaryota; Metazoa; Chordata; Actinopteri; Atheriniformes; Melanotaeniidae
Exons: 3
Source: RefSeq, a predicted model, not a curated record